CAGGCCUAACACAUGCAAGUCGAACGGUAACAGGAAGCAGCUUGCUGCUUCGCUGACGAGUGGCGGACGGGUGAGUAAUGUCUGGGAAACUGCCUGAUGGAGGGGGAUAACUACUGGAAACGGUAGCUAAUACCGCAUAACGUCGCAAGACCAAAGAGGGGGACCUUCGGGCCUCUUGCCAUCGGAUGUGCCCAGAUGGGAUUAGCUAGUAGGUGGGGUAACGGCUCACCUAGGCGACGAUCCCUAGCUGGUCUGAGAGGAUGACCAGCCACACUGGAACUGAGACACGGUCCAGACUCCUACGGGAGGCAGCAGUGGGGAAUAUUGCACAAUGGGCGCAAGCCUGAUGCAGCCAUGCCGCGUGUAUGAAGAAGGCCUUCGGGUUGUAAAGUACUUUCAGCGGGGAGGAAGGCGAUAAGGUUAAUAACCUUGUCGAUUGACGUUACCCGCAGAAGAAGCACCGGCUAACUCCGUGCCAGCAGCCGCGGUAAU
Molecule: ribosomal RNA, 492 nt
Filed under: uncultured bacterium
Lineage: Bacteria
Description: bacterial SSU rRNA
Rfam family: Bacterial small subunit ribosomal RNA
Source: RNAcentral